UCGCCUGUUUAUCAAAAACAUAGUUUUAUGAUACUUAUAUAAAAUAACUUCUGCCCAGUGUCUAAAAAGAUAAAUGGCCGCAGUACCUUGACUGUGCUAAGGUAGCAUAAUCAAUUGGCUUUUAAUUGAAGUCUAGAAUGAAUGGGAAAAUGGAAUUUAGCUGUCUUAAUUUUUUUAAUUAAAAUUUAUUUAUAAGGUGAAAAUACCUUAAAAUUAAAUAAAGACGAGAAGACCCUAUGAAUUUUUAAAUGUAUUUUUGUUGGGGCGACAGUUUAAAAAAUAAUCUUAAAUUUAUAACAUAUAACGAAUUUUUUAAUAAAAAUUAAAUUACCUUAGGGAUAACAGCAUUAUUAUUAAAAUAGUUUGUGACCUCGAUGUUGGACUAGGAACUAAAAGGCUAACCGUCUUUAUAGAUUUGUUCUGUUCGAACAAUUUAAUCCUACGUGAUCUGAGUUCAGACCGGA
This 464-nucleotide ribosomal RNA is filed under the name Gyraulus sp. clade B TS-2018. Its description in RNAcentral is "partial 16S ribosomal RNA". It matches the Rfam family "Bacterial large subunit ribosomal RNA", at positions 1796 to 2620 of the family's 2925-position model. Lineage: Eukaryota; Metazoa; Mollusca; Gastropoda; Planorbidae. The record is from RNAcentral.